This is a long non-coding RNA of Sapajus apella (tufted capuchin), 1265 nucleotides long. RefSeq lists it as uncharacterized. The record is from RefSeq and is a predicted model, not a curated record. The transcript has 2 exons. NCBI's taxonomy places the organism in Eukaryota, Metazoa, Chordata, Mammalia, Primates, Cebidae.
UGUAAAGUGAGGAGGCUGAGCUACAUGGCAUCUGACUUACUCCCAACCUGACUGCUGUUUACUCUGCAACCAUGUACUCCAUCCUCCCCACAACUGUCAGAAAAGCCUCUCUGAAGACUGAGAGGCUACCUGUGGCACAGGCCACCUCAGCGUUGAGCUUCAGCCUGGGAAGGAAAGUGUGGAUCCUGAAGACGAAACAGAGGAGUACCCAGACUAGCGGACUGCCAAGAAAAAUUAAUGACAAGCAGUUCAAGCUAAAACCAAGGAGGUGCUAUGUGACCAGGCAGCCCCAAAGAGGCUGUGCCCUCAGGAAGUUCAGCUCAGCAGGAGCAGGCUCUCCAGGAGAGCCUUCAGGCCUCCCAGGAAGAUGAGCAUUAGCCCCAAAAGCAUAAAGUUUGCCCUAUGUUUGCCAGGAACUCAUUUCCAAGAAUGUGUGUGCCAUGCAUAGCCAACAGUUUCCUGCUUUACUCCUCAGUUGUCUGCCUUUUUGCCCACUGGUACUUCUGUGUCUGCUGGCCUCUGGCUGAAGUUUCCCUUUGAAAGCCAGACUACAGAAAAACAUGGAAGGAAAGUGUUGGACUCUGGUUGCCAAGGGCUCACUGGCUGUGCCACUUAAGAAGUUCCUCACUUCUGAGCAGAAUCAGAGCGCUGGAUCCCACUUCAAGGCACCUGCCCAGCCUGCCUUCCAGCAGGUCUUAGCAACAUGCUGAGUUGACUGACAUGCCAAGAGAUGGAAUCCACACAAGGCAGUGGUCUGUGAUGAAUGUUCAUUCAUUGAAUGGUCUUUCUUAGUUUUGUCUUUCCACAUGGAAAAUGGGGGCGGGGGGCAGGGGGAACGGUACCAAGAGCUCAUCUGGCUCUGCCGCCACCAUCAAUGUGUACCCAGCUUCCAAAUUCUCCAGCAACAGCUGUAUUCCUUCACCUGGUCUGAUUCUCGACUCCCAACAUGCCCCAGUUUUUGUUUCUCCCUCGCCUUCUGGAGCUGAGUCCUGCCUCAGUUUCUCCAAUCUCCCCAGAGCCCUGAAUCUAAGGCAUUCCCUAGGCACAGCCUAUGCACGACUCGCCUCCCCGGCCGUAGUCCCACCUCCUCCCGCCGCCUGGCUCCUACUUGCAGAUGGUUCCAGCGCUGGUUAUUAUUUAAACGAGCUGCUCCUGGCUCACAUGUUAAUUAAAACCCGCUGUCCAAAAUCUCCUGGUACAAUUUGCAGUGUAAUCUGUAGCCUCUAGUGCAUCAUUGUAUCUCUAUUAAAAGGGAUUCUCUGUAA